CAGUCGCCACGGUAAUACGAAGGGGGCUAGCGUUGUUCGGAAUUACUGGGCGUAAAGCGCACGUAGGCGGAUAUUUAAGUCAGGGGUGAAAUCCCAGAGCUCAACUCUGGAACUGCCUUUGAUACUGGGUAUCUUGAGUAUGGAAGAGGUGAGUGGAAUUCCGAGUGUAGAGGUGAAAUUCGUAGAUAUUCGGAGGAACACCAGUGGCGAAGGCGGCUCACUGGUCCAUUACUGACGCUGAGGUGCGAAAGCGUGGGGAGCAAACAGGAUUAGAUACCCCGUGUAGUCCCUGUCUCUUAUA
RNAcentral lists this ribosomal RNA (301 nucleotides) under uncultured bacterium. RNAcentral describes it as "partial 16S ribosomal RNA". It matches the Rfam family "Bacterial small subunit ribosomal RNA", at positions 509 to 808 of the family's 1533-position model. The record is from RNAcentral.